GUAUGUUACAUUUCAAUAAAUAAUAGUUUAAUUUAUAAAAUCUAGAUAUACAUAUAUAAAGACAAAAGAUGGUAGUAUAGCUAUGAUGUGUAUAAAUACAGCUGAUGUGUUCUAGGCCACAUAUUAAUCUAGGAAGCACUUAACUGUGGCAGAAAGACUCGGGAGAUUUAAAAGAAAGUCCUUAUAAUCCUUACCUCCUGGUAUUUACAUAGCAUGUCAUUUCUUCUAUUUGAAUAUUUCUUCUAUUAGAAUAUCCUAUUCUAACCAAUAGGAUCCUGCAAAGGUGAUGGGAUGCCUUUUUCAUGAAAAUGUUGGCAUAAUAUUAUGUGCACUUUUAAAAAUAGCCUCAAAAGACAGGCUAGGGCUGUAGCUCACUGGCAGAGCACUUGCCUCACAUGUGUGAGGCACUGGGUUCAAGCCUUAGUACCACAUAAAAAUAAACACAUCAAGGUAUUCUGUCCAUCUACAACUACAAUUUUUUUUAAAUGUACAGGGCAUUAAUUUAUAGAAAUUCAUAGACAAAUUCAACUAAGUUCAAAAGUUCCUUUCAAUUACUGAGAAACCAUAUACAGAAGUCAACAGUAUAGCUCAGUGGUAGAAUGUUUGCUGUAUAUAUGGCUCAGUGGUUAAGCAUCUGUGGGUUCAAUCCCUAGCACCAAAAAUAAAUAAAUAAACAAAAACUGUAAAAUGUUACACCUAAUGAAUGACCCUACAAAAGUUGCAGGACAUUAAACCAUCUGAAAAGGAAGUUAAGAAAACAUAUUUACAAUAGCAUCAAAAGAUACUUAGGAUUUAACCAAGGAGAUGAAAGACUUGUAUACUGAAAAUUACAAAUGAAAGAAACUGAAAGAAAGAAAACAUCCCCAAAAGAAAUGAUAUUGGAUGUUCAUGGAUUGGAAAACUUUAUAUUCAUAAGAUCUUCAUUCUACCCAAUGUUUUCUACAGAUUUAGUGUAAUUCCUGUCAAAAUCUCAGUUUUAUUUUGGUAAAAAUAGAAAGAUCUAUCCUAGGCCCGGGGUGUAGCUUGGAGUUGUAUCACUUUCCUAGCAUGUAUAAGGCCCCAGGUUUUAUCACUAGCACUGUAAACAAACAAAGAAACAAAUUCAUCCAUCAAUCCAUUCAUCUAUCCUAAAUUUCACCUGGAAUCUAAGGGACUCCAAAUAGUAAAACAAUUUUGAGAAAAAAUAGAUGGCGUUAGCAUACUCCCCAAAUUGAAACAUACUGAAAAGCCUUAAGAAACUAGAAAAAAGGGGCUGGGGAUGUGGCUCAAGCGUUAACGCCUGGCAUGCUCGGGGCACUGGGUUCGAUCCUCAGCAUCACAUAAAAAUAAAAUAAAGAUGUUGUGUCCACCGAAAACUGAAAAAUAAAAUAUUAAAAAAAAAAAGAAACUAGAAAAAAGCCUAGUGUGUGAUACACACUUGUAAUCCUCAGGAGGCUGAAGGAAAAAGAUGGUAUUGGGCAACUUAGCAAGACCCUGUUUUGAAAUAAAUAAGGUUGGUGCCAGUGGUGUAGCUUAGUGGUAAAGUACCCCCUGUUUCAAUCUGUAAUACUGGGGAAAGGAAAAAAAAAUAGAGAAAAAGCAAGCACAAAGAAGGAUAUAAUAAAGAGAAAAAACAUAAUCAAUGAAAAUGAAUGUUGACUCUUUGAAAUCAUCAGUAAAAUUGACAAAAUUUUAAGCUAAGUGUCCAAGAAAGAUGACUUACUAAGAUCAAGAGAUAUUGCUAUCCACUGUACAGAAUUAAAAACUAUUAUGUGAGGAUCAUAUGAACAAUCCUACGCCAACCAAUUAGGUAAGCUAGGUAAAGAGAAAUAAUCCCAAGAAAGACACAACGUACCAAAGCUAGUUUAAACAGAAAAGAUAAACAAAUUUUUAAUAUAGCUGUAAUGAGGAAAAUAAUUGAGUCAGUAAUCAAAAACCUUCCAAUGAAAGAAAGCCCAGAAGGGAAUGAGUUCAACUAUGAAUUCUACUGAAUGUUUACAGAAUGAUUAAUAAUAGUCCCUAAAAUAGCCAAAUUAUGGAUUCAAACUAGGUGCCCAUCAACAGACAAAUGGAUAAAGAAAAUGUGGUAUAUAAACAUUACUUGGUCAUAAAGAUGAAUGGAAUUUUGGUAUUUGUUGGUAAAUGGAGGAAACUGGAGAACAUCAUGCUGAGUGAAAUAAACCAGACCCAGAAAGUCAAGGGUCAGAUGUUCUUUCUCAUAUGUGGAAGCUAGAGUGAAAAAAGAAAUUAAAAAGGAGAUGGAUCUUGGGCUGGGGAUAUAACUCAGUUCGUAGAGUUCCUGCCUCACAUGCAUAAGGCCCUGGGUUCAAUCCCCAGUACCUAAAAAAAAAAAAAAAAAAAGGAUCUUAGGAAAACAGAAGGGAGAUCAUUAGAUCAAAAGCAGGACCAAAUUGGGUUGUGCAUGAAUUGAAGAAUGAAGUUGAACAAAUUAUACUAGGUGUCUGUAUGAAUAUAUCAUAAUAUAUUUAAACUUUAUAUGUAACUAACACACCAAAUAAAAAUUAUUUAAUUAAUUAGGAAGAACAACCAAGUAGAGCAAGGGCAUCAGGAAGAGGGAGGAGGAGAGGAAAAGAAGUAGUACUGGGGGUUGAAAUGAAGAAGAAUACAUGCAUUUAUGAAUGUGUCAAAAUGAUCCUCACUAUUAUGUACAAGUGUAAUGCACUAAUAAAAGGAAAAAAACAUAAACAAAACAGCCAGGAAUGGUGUCUCAUGCCUGUAAUCCCAGUGUAUUGGGAGGCUGAGGCAGGAGGAUUGCAAGUUCAAAGACAAUCUCAGCAUUUAGAGACCCUAAGCAACUUAGUGAGACCCUGUCUCUAAAUAAAAUAAAAAAAAGUGCUGGGGAUGUGGCUCAAUGGCUGCUGGGUUCAAUCCCUGGAACCAAAGUAGGAGAAAAAAAGAGUUUGAUUUUCAUUUCCUGGCAUUCCAGGAUUCCUUUCUAUACUAAAGUACCUGCAGCUGGUAACCAGCAAGCAAUGGUACGUUUGCUCCCAGAAUGGAGUCUUAAAGGGUGGUCUCAGAUCUGAAUCAGUUAUGCUCUCAUGUUAAUGAAAAGAUUGGCAAUAUUAAAAAACCUCUGUUAUUAAGAAAAUUUGGCCAGGAACCUUCCCAGAAGAUGAUAUUAAAUAAAAUAGAAGAUGAUAUCAUUAUAGUAAAUGAAAUUCUAAAUUUGAAUAGGAAUAAUCAAGAACAAAGCAUCGAUACACUAAGGGGUUAAAGGAUCUUAUCUUGACUCUAAAGAACCAAAAUUGAGCAAUCUGCACCCAUAAAAAAAUUCCCUAAAGAACAAUGUUGAAGAAAUUCUACUGAUGAGUUCGAUGGUAUUCCUGCCUUACAUGAAAUCCCAUUUGACUAACUUAUUGUCAAAUCAAUGAUAUUAUUAAAGAAAUCAAGAUGGUAUUUACUAUGAUUACACACGAAACAAAAAACUGAAUUCUGAAAAAUUCUCAAAUUGAUUAAUGAAAAACAAGGAAUACUUAAGAUCAUUAUUUUAUAGAGGGAACGUAAAGGAAUUCACGACUUUGAAAGCUGACAAGAGGUUUCUUGUUACCUGACUAUUUUGCGACAUUGCUGAGAGCUUCUCAGAGGAUGGAGGGGGAGGACUCAUCCUUUAUGUCAUAACCUGAGUCCUUUGUCAACUUUGUAACUGAAUGACAGUAGGGUAUACCGUCCUAUAAUUUUUUUAUGUUUCUUUAGCUUUUCAUUUUCUAGUCCUUUUCAUUUUUCAUUUUUCAGUCCUGUUUUUUUUUGUAUAAAUAAAACCAUUUUUUUCAUAAACCACAUGUAUUUUCAAAAUCAUUCCCUUUAGGCAAAUAUUUAUCUAACUGCUAAAUAAGCCUCUAUACUAUGCAUAGUAUGAAACUAAAAAAUUGCUCAUGUCUACUUUUGUACUUAGUGGACAAUGCUACAGACCCCAAUCAAAUUGGUAUAGAUGUGAUGUUGGAAGAAAAAGUUCAAGAAGAUAAAGUCAAGUAUACCCAGACCCUUUGGAAUUGAACAUUACUAUCUAAAUUCCAUUCAAAGCAUUUCAGUCUGAAGAUAGACUUCCUCCAAGUGGAUUUGGAGGUGGCUUAUCUGUUUGAUUAUUGUACUUUCCCAUAUGUCCAUAGGGACCAGCUCACCUAAAAUAAAUAAAUAUAUAUUUAUCUUCUCAGGUCCUUGUUUGAGGCUCCUAAAACUUUUGUUAUGCCCUGAAUGCUAGUCAUGCAUCUUUUGUCUCCUGAUACAAAGCUCUCAAAUCCCCGCAAAUUUCCUGGUGAUAGGACCAUUUUUUUUGAGCUUCUAAUGAAAUGAUUCUUGGUGGACUCCUGAACAGCUUUAGAAUAGGAUUUGAUCACAAAGACAAAGGCAUGAAUAGAUGCUUCCUUCCAACUUUUAGCUGUUCUCUCACCUCCCCCACACUCCACCCUGCUCCAAGAAGUGGAGAGGAGCUGGAGAUUGAGUUAGUAAUCCAUGAUGUCAAGAUGAUGCUACCAUAAAGAUCCCUAAAUGAUGGAAUUCUGAGAGCUUUGAUGGCAAAAAACAUUGAUGUGCCAGGAAGAUGGUGUACCCCACUUGGACAAGGACAGAAGCUCCUGCGCUUGGGACCCUUCUGAAGUUUACCCUGUGUACCUCUUCAUUUGGCUGUUUAUUUCUGUAUCUGUUAUACCCUUUAUAAUAAACUAGUAAACUUACGUGAAGUGUUUUCUUCAGUCUUGUGAAUCCUAGCAGAUUACCAAACCCAUGAGAGGGUUGUGGGAACCCUCAAUUUGUUGCAACAUCAGACAAGUGUG
RNAcentral lists this long non-coding RNA (4769 nucleotides) under Marmota monax (woodchuck). The stretch from base 2252 to 2322 matches the Rfam family "tRNA". The record is from RNAcentral. Lineage: Eukaryota; Metazoa; Chordata; Mammalia; Rodentia; Sciuridae.